This is a non-coding RNA of Camelina sativa (false flax), 597 nucleotides long. The record is from RefSeq and is a predicted model, not a curated record. NCBI's taxonomy places the organism in Eukaryota, Viridiplantae, Streptophyta, Magnoliopsida, Brassicales, Brassicaceae.
CAGAUUUCGGCAGCAACAUUGGCCUAUUCUUGCACCUAGCGUCUUCAGAUGAUGACACAAACAUCGGAGUUGCAGAUAUUGCUUCUGAAUGCGUCGUGUUGCUACUUAAAGCGGCAUCGAGAGAAGCUACGACGGGAUUUUUAACCAAUCUUCCGAAGAUCACACAGAUUCUUGACUCGUGGAACAGGAGGAAGAGUACGGAGCAACACUCGUUGGUUCUGAAAAGGAUAUUGCAUUGUUUAGGUUACGCUUGCAAGCAGUAUCUAUCGCAGGCGAUGAUUUUGUCGAUAUCAGGACAUGAUGUCUCUAAGAUCAACGCCAUUGUCUCUGAGAUCAAGAACUCAGACGUGGCUGGUCUUAAUAGCGUCGCUUCCCUCGUCGCUAUGGAGUUGCAGAGAUUACCUCGUUGAACAAAAGGAUUAACGGACAAUGACGCUGUAGAAUUUCAAUAUGUACGAGGUAAACAAAAUCAAAACCAUGUGACAUUGAGAAUCAAGAUCUAUUUGUCUCUUUGUAAUGUGUAUAUUUCUCUUAAUUACAAUUUUUGUACCACUACAAAACUACUUCCUUAAUAUUAUCUUCUUUUAGAUUUACACA